RNAcentral lists this long non-coding RNA (1401 nucleotides) under Homo sapiens (human). RNAcentral's name for it is "EFCAB6 divergent transcript, transcript variant 1 (EFCAB6-DT)". Lineage: Eukaryota; Metazoa; Chordata; Mammalia; Primates; Hominidae. The record is from RNAcentral.
GCCGGAAGUCCCGUUCUCUGGGGAGCGGGAACCCUGGCGACCCGUGUCAUGGGAGCGGGUUUCUGUUACGUGGGCUUUAGCGCGAGCUGGGCGGUCGGCCCGGUCCCACCGAACUGCAUAGGGCCGUGUAGCCGGGGGAAGUCAGCCCCCUGCUCUGAGAAGCAGACUCUGCAUCUGUAAAAGGCUAAGCGUGCCCACUGGGGCCUGUGGUCAGGAUUGGCUGCAGUGAGGUCCGCAAAGCCCCUACCGCAUCCUGCGCCUUCGUUAGGGUGAGCAGUCAUGGGGACUCGCAUUGUGCCACCACGUAGCGGGUCUCACUGGGUCCGCUUGUCUGCUCGAGGAGACAGCCGGUGAGGACGGGAGCUGGCCUGCUUUGCCCAGGCUGUAACCUCAGCCUCCGCCCAUACCCACAAUCAUCUUCAAUCCAGAGGGUUUUCCUUGUUCCAGGAAACGUCUCACCUCCAUGUGCAGAUUUAAUUUUUACAGAAACUGAAAUUUCCCUCAUUUAUUAUCUAGAUGAGCCCCUAAAAUCUAUUCAAUAAGGUUUGAUCUUUGAUGGAACAGACCAGAGUUGUAUAAUGUGACAGUGGCCCCAAGGAACAGUUUGUAGGAGGAGAUUGUUGUCUUCUCUGAAAAAAACUUCCCAGAAGACAUUGAUGGUUCCCUUAGGUGCCCUGCAGUGGGUCCACUUCCAACAGGCUGAAGCCUGGAUUUGGUGGGUGAGGGUCCUACCUUUUCCUAGAUACCAUUCAGCAUCACUGAAGCCAGUAAACUCACCUCCUGAGGAACCGUUACCAUCUGUACUAUUUACACCCAUGGCAUGAGUCUGCUGCUCAAGACCUUUGAUGAGAAUCUUGAAAAGGAAACCAUGAAUUGCUGGAGAAAAUAUCUUUACACUUAUAUGCAACAGAUGGUCCAUUCCCUCAGUAUUCAAGAAGAAACUCUGGGAUCAUGGAGACCUGGGUGACAAUCACCCUCUGCCCACCCUGCGGGUUUUGGGGGCUUGGAGCUGGUUUUCACCACAAUUCUGUACACCUAAGAGACUGGGCCGUAAGAUCGAGCCUGUAAUUAUCUCACAGGCAUCAGUGAUGAUGUUACGAAUGCAGAUUAUGCCUUCAUGUGGAGAAAGAAACAGUAGGGGCUGAUUAGCCACGAAGAAGUUAAGUACUGGUUUCCACCAUGUCUAUUAAUAAAGAAGGGAAGAAGAGCAAGUACGUGGCAGGGAUGCGUAGCGUGUCCACAUGGAAGCGGAGAGCCUCUCCCUCUCAGAAAUCUGCUUCCCUGACUGCUGUCCUUUUGGUAGUCUCAUAAAAUGGAGACAAGAUUCUCUUCAGCUGUCCUGAGGAGGAAAAAAAAAUAUGACAUAAAAAUAAAUGAGGUAUAAGUAGCUCUUUUGGAAAA